This 323-nucleotide ribosomal RNA is filed under the name uncultured bacterium. RNAcentral's name for it is "bacterial SSU rRNA". It matches the Rfam family "Bacterial small subunit ribosomal RNA", at positions 28 to 334 of the family's 1533-position model. The record is from RNAcentral.
GACGAACGCUGGCGGCGUGCCUAACACAUGCAAGUCGAACGGAGUUCAUUGGAUUGAGGCUUCGGCCAAAUGAAUUUGAACUUAGUGGCGAACGGGUGAGUAACGCGUGAGCAACCUGCCUUUCAGAGGGGGACAACAGUUGGAAACGACUGCUAAUACCGCAUAACACAUCGAGGAGGCAUCUCCUUGAUGUCAAAGAUUUAUCGCUGAAAGAUGGGCUCGCGUCUGAUUAGAUAGUUGGUGAGGUAACGGCUCACCAAGUCGACGAUCAGUAGCCGGACUGAGAGGUUGAACGGCCACAUUGGGACUGAGAUACGGCCCAG